UACGUGGGGACCAAGCGUUGUUCGGAUUUACUGGGCGUAAAGGGCGCGUAGGCGGCGCGGUAAGUCACUUGUGAAAUCUCUGAGCUUAACUCAGAACGGCCAAGUGAUACUGCAGUGCUAGAGUGUGGAAGGGGCAAUCGGAAUUCUUGGUGUAGCGGUGAAAUGCGUAGAUAUCAGGAGGAACACCGGUGGCGAAGGCGGCUCUCUGGACCACAACUGACGCUGAGGCGCGAAAGCUAGGGGAGCAAACAGG
Molecule: ribosomal RNA, 253 nt
Filed under: uncultured bacterium
Lineage: Bacteria
Description: partial 16S ribosomal RNA
Rfam family: Bacterial small subunit ribosomal RNA
Source: RNAcentral